RNAcentral lists this ribosomal RNA (472 nucleotides) under uncultured bacterium. RNAcentral describes it as "bacterial SSU rRNA". It matches the Rfam family "Bacterial small subunit ribosomal RNA", at positions 8 to 527 of the family's 1533-position model. The record is from RNAcentral.
AGAGUUUGAUCCUGGCUCAGGAUGAACGCUGGCGGCGUGCUUAACACAUGCAAGUCGAACGAACCUUCGGGUUAGUGGCGGACGGGUGAGUAACGCGUGAGAAUCUGCCCUCAGGAGGGGGAUAACGGCUGGAAACGGCCGCUAAUACCCCAUAUGCCGCGAGGUGAAAUGAAUUUCGCCUGAGGAUGAGCUCGCGUCUGAUUAGCUAGUUGGUGGGGUAAAGGCCUACCAAGGCAUCGAUCAGUAGCUGGUCUGAGAGGAUGAUCAGCCACACUGGGACUGAGACACGGCCCAGACUCCUACGGGAGGCAGCAGUGGGGAAUUUUCCGCAAUGGGCGAAAGCCUGACGGAGCAACGCCGCGUGAGGGAUGAAGGCCUCUGGGCUGUAAACCUCUUUUAUCAAGGAAGAAGAUCUGACGGUACUUGAUGAAUAAGCCACGGCUAAUUCCGUGCCAGCCGCCGCGGUAAUUCA